Molecule: long non-coding RNA, 2377 nt
Filed under: Zea mays
Lineage: Eukaryota; Viridiplantae; Streptophyta; Magnoliopsida; Poales; Poaceae
Description: long non-coding RNA (ZMAY_LNC004874)
Source: RNAcentral
UACGCGCCGCCGUUCUCUGAAGCCUUAUCUUCCACGCACGCAGCUUUCCUCUGCUCAAGCUCAAUCGCGGCGUCCCUCUGCUCACUCUCCUGACCGCCAUCUCCAUGGCCGCGCGCACCCUUGCUUCUCUCUCCCUCCUCUUCCUCCUUGUGGCAUUUGCCAGGCCGCUACGCAGCCCCUUGGCUUCAUCUUCCCCCUUCUCCUCUAUGUCGGUGCCUUCUUUGCUCCUCAAAUCCAUGGCACCGCGGCCUCCCAACUUGGACUGCGCCACUCUUUGAUUUCCGGUGGCCGGCGUCUUCCUCUGCGCCGUCAGCUUGCCGGACUCGCGCCAUCCUCCACCGCCCUAGAUUUUUUCCUGAAGCACUACGCCCCUGGUCGAGCUUGCCCAUGGCGUCUUCCCCCUGGCGCCCCUGUGCUCGCGCCCCUGUGGCCGCGGCUCUCCCUCUGGUUGCAGGGACGCGCAAGCCCCAUCCCCAAUGGUGCUCGGCCGCCCAGCUCCCUGCUCCUUCCACUCGCCCGGCCUCUAGUUCCCUGCGCGCGCUCCUCUGCUCGCCGGUUCUCCUUGCCCCAGAACCAUCAGUCCUCUAUCCGGCUUCAACCCCACCGUCGGUCUCUAGACUCUAGUUCGCCAUGGCGCUGAAUUUCUUCCUCGUGUCAUCCCUGCUCCUCGCGCGUUGGGCACCGGGAGACUUUCCCUGCUUGGUCUGGCGUGGGUUGUAGCUGCCGGACAAGCGCACCCCUGUUUCCUUUGUCGUCGGUCGUCGUUUGACCUCGUCUUGCUGCGUGGUUCCUGGUCAUAAUCAUAACCAUCUCGGACUGCGCUGUCGCCCAGAUCUGAAACCGAACUCCCCAACGCCCUGGCGCUCAAUGAAAUGUCCAAGCCAGUCCCUCGCCACAUUCACUGCCUUUGUGCGCACGCUACUGCUUCCGUGCCGCAACAUUCGCCAACUACACGAGGUAAUGUAAAGUUUGGUGAACUAGCAUUGACUCGUGGUCGCCACUGUUCCUAGCGUACCUGUGAAUUAGUCGAUGUCGUGAGUUUGGGUGCCUGAUUUAAGGAAAGAAAUCCCAGGGUUUUGUGUGGAAAAGAAAACGUAGUUCAACGCUUGCCAAAUAUCUAAUAAAAUGCUUGCGCUAGGAUUUAUCGUUGAUUUCGCAGAUCCGAGUCGUUUAUGGUGUGGUGAACUAUUUCACUACUCCCGCUAGCCGACUCAUGAAGUAGAUCGAGUUAGUAUAUUGGUCGCGAUGAAUUCUUUUGUUAGUUGCGCAAGUGUGUGUGGUUAUAUUAAAUGAUUAUUAAAAUGCGUCGUGGGUAGUAUGUGGUGGAUGCAUAUGUCGAAUAGGUUUAAAUUGGCUCUUUGCUGAGGAGUGAGGAGAAUUAGUAGCGUGAGGAAUUGAUUUAGUAUUCCAAACGAUUAUCCGUAAGGCUGUCAUCCUUGAUUUUGUAGGAUAUUUUGGUAGUCAAACCUGAGAUGGUUGAUUAAUUGUUGACAUGUAAAAUAGGAAUAGUGUUUGAUUGGCUAGUGGGCAUUCUAUUAGUGUUGUUAUGCUAAUUCAGUUUUUAUGGUACAUCGAUGAUUAGCCUUAUUAAUUGUAUCAUGUGGUAAAUCCUAGGUUUGGAAUAUAGGUAUAUGUAAAAGGUUAUCGGAUUGGUCUUAGCGAUGCGGUGUAAGGUGAAAUUAGCAAUAUGAAAAGUAAAUUAAUAAAUUCAAAUGUGUGGAUGGUGAAUGUUAUUAAUGUUUCUUUCGAUGGAUUUUGUUUACUGUAGUUAGUGUUAUGUUUGAGUAGUCAUGAUACUCUUCGUUAGAAACCGAUUAAGUGCCCUAGGUAAAUAUCUAGCAUUACCAAAAUAAGUGAAAGCGAAUAAUAUCAAUAAGUUUGUUUCUGUUAAAAUUGAAUCCAGCUAAGUUAAAAUAAUGUAGAUAUGAUACUUAGUGUUAUGUAGACAUUUAGUCUUGAUAUUUCUCCUUAUGUGCAUACAUGUGCAUUAUGCAUAUCAUUCAGGUACGUUAAUUAAUCACGUGAUGCGGAAGACAACCCAAGUCGACCACAGGAUCAUGCAGAGAUUGGACAUCUCCGCAAAACAAUGUCGUCAGUCGGACCAACCUGAAGGGUAGACUGAACAAGUGCUAAGACAAAGGAUGGUUGUCAAGUGCUACAUAUGUCGUGUGAUUGGUGUAAUACCCAAAAUACUAACUUUAAGAAUAUGGGGAAUUCUCCUAUGUUUUAGACAAACCUAUUAUCUAACAAUAUAUUAGAAACAAGAUUCCCUUAAAAAAACUCUUUGGUUGAAUUUUAUAUUUAAUAAAAAUAUAAUAAUAACAACAAAAGUUAUGUUUCACAUGAAUAGAAAACAUUAGAUUUUUAAAUAUGAUAU